This 241-nucleotide unclassified non-coding RNA is filed under the name uncultured fungus. Its description in RNAcentral is "sequence contains ITS2". Lineage: Eukaryota; Fungi. The record is from RNAcentral.
AACGCACAUUGCGCCCGUUAGUACUCUAGCGGGCAUGCCUGUUCGAGCGUCAUUUCAACCCUCAAGCUCUGCUUGGUGUUGGGGCACUAUAGUGGAUAUAGGCCCUGAAAAACAGUGGCGGGCUCACUAUAACUCCGAGCGUAGUACAUACCUCGCUUAGGGCGUUUUAGUGGGAUCUGGCCUUAAUCCUUCUUUUUAAAUAGUUGACCUCGAAUCAGGUAGGAAUACCCGCUGAACUUAA